GUACCUCUUUUGACUUCAUGAUGGCAAAAUACCAAUUGGCCAACAGCAACAACGACAUGCAAAAUGGACAGUCCCAUGUGAUCAUUGACAACUGGAAUCAUUGUUGUUACUGCUACAGGCUGAGGUUGUUUCUAGAAAUAUCAAAUUGGAAAUUCUCAGAAUGGAUUGCUCGUCGUCAGUUAAAAACAUGUACUUCUCUUGACUUGAUGAUGGCAAAAAUACCAACUGGCCAACAGCAAAACAGACAUGCAAAAACGGACAGUCCCAUGUAGUCAUUGAGGAUUGGAAGUGUUUUUACUACUGUUGCAGUCUGAGGUUGUUUCUAGAAAUAUCAAAUUGAAAA
Molecule: long non-coding RNA, 343 nt
Organism: Xenia sp. Carnegie-2017
Lineage: Eukaryota; Metazoa; Cnidaria; Anthozoa; Malacalcyonacea; Xeniidae
Exons: 2
Source: RefSeq, a predicted model, not a curated record